Molecule: long non-coding RNA, 527 nt
Organism: Megalobrama amblycephala (Wuchang bream)
Lineage: Eukaryota; Metazoa; Chordata; Actinopteri; Cypriniformes; Xenocyprididae
Exons: 3
Source: RefSeq, a predicted model, not a curated record
GCGGCCGCGGUCACGCGGAAGAAGCGCGCGCGCCAUUUUGUGGUGCCACGUUGCCGCUUCUCGAUCGAAAACUCCGAUUGUUUAUAUUAUAGAUUAGCGCGUGUCCGUCUGACGAACCAAAACAAACGGAGACUAUACUUAACAACACCGCAAUAUUGUUAAACAUCAAACUGGCUCUGUUAGACCAGCCUGAAUCUGUUCUGCCACCUCACGGAUCUGCUGGGCAAAUCUGGUCUUUGACCCUUUCUUGAGUUUUUGGGAAUCUUUUUCAUUGAAGAAAAGAUCCAUGCCAAGGGCAAAGCCCUGAAUCACACCUGAGGAUCUGUUCAUCACGCUGAGGGCACCUGAUGUCCCACUUGCUAUCUCGACUAGCUUCACGAUCUUUGCAGCCGAGGCCCCUGUGACCCCGCCAGCGGCUGCGACCCCGACUCCCACCGCAGCGACCGCUAGAGACAAGCCCAUAGUCGCGGGGGCCAGGAGGAUGCCGCCCACGGCUGCCGCUGCGCCCACGGCUCCGGUGGUGCCGC